Long non-coding RNA from Talpa occidentalis (Iberian mole), 1388 nucleotides. RefSeq lists it as uncharacterized. The record is from RefSeq and is a predicted model, not a curated record. Lineage: Eukaryota; Metazoa; Chordata; Mammalia; Eulipotyphla; Talpidae. The transcript has 4 exons.
GGCUACAUUCAGAAGCAUGGGAGGAUGAGAGAAUUCACCAGAGACAGAGCAGGGAACAGAACAGGCAGACUGACGGAGUACGCUGCUGAGGGGAGCAGCGGUCGAAAGGAGAGGUCUGUGCUAUGUGGGAACCUUGUUGGUGGCUGGGGAUGGAACCAGUGCUGGAGAGAAUGCGGGCAGCUUCACAGUGCUCAACCACUGCGCCACCAGGGGAGACCCUGCUUAGGAGGCGCAAUACGGAGGCAGAGUGAAGACACAGGGCUCACCGCCGCCAUAAACUCACAACACUGUGCAGGACAACAUCGAUGCCCCUGAAAGAGAAAUGGGUGACCAGGGCACACACCAGGAGCAGGGACCAAUGGCAAGAAACUGGGAAAACGUUAACUGACCUGCAUCUACAGUUAUACUGGAGCAGAAUUAAACCCCCUACAGAUGUGGACUCGGGGACACAAGCCACAUUGGGGACUUUGGAGAUUCAGCACUUCCCUCAGCGCUGGGCUCAACCCACUGGGCCCUCCGGGAGGCCCUAUUUUUGAAGAUACCGUACCAAUUCUCUACAGCUACUGUCUCCUCCAGGCAGAGAAAGAACAUCCAGAUGCCUCCAUGCCCCAGGGCCCCGCAGGCAGAGCAGGUCACCUGGAGGUGUCCCUGCAGUGGGAACCAGUGUGCCCACGGCGGCCGCCUCCUCGUGCCCUUUGGAACCUGCGUGGGAAGAGCAGAGCCAGUGAAGCCCAAGCACGGAGGAGGCUCUUUCCAUAGUGACACCCCCCGGGAAGUGCUGCAUGGACAGAGAUGCGACAAAACGCAGAUGGAAACCAGGAGGCCCUAUCGAGGCGCCACUCACUGGCGGGUGCUUCACCAGACCCGUUGUCCUCCCUGCCCUUCAUCUGCUCUGCUCCUGGGACUGCUGUGCUUGCGGACAUCUGUGCUCCACGCCUGUGUUCUCAUGCUGCUCCUGGCCCCUCUGGCUGGGCCCAGCCCCUGACCCCUCUCCAGGUCUUGGCCUCCGCUGGUGUGCUCCUCUCACUAUGGCCACUGAGUGACUGCCCUGGAGCGGGGAAGUGAAUUCUAGGGAGGUGCUGGUGACCAUCUAAUCCCCAACAGGGUGAACUCUGCUCUUGUGUUUUCUUCCGAAGGGUGGACAGAAAAUGCAACAUUUUAAAAUCCUAUUAAGGAUUCAACGAGCUCUGGCCUUGUAGCCUCCGCUGGACUGAAGGGUGGAUUGGGAAUGGUGUUCAUAGCCCAGUGUCUCUGCAGGGAGUGGGCUGAACAGGGGCUCCUCCUUGGGGUUAUUCGGGUGGUGCUGGAGAGCUGGGGGACUGGGCUGGAGGUCUUCCUAAUGCUUUCCUGGCCCCCCUCCAGCUGGGGGCCUAGCAAGAUGGUGCUGG